RNAcentral lists this long non-coding RNA (922 nucleotides) under Homo sapiens (human). Its description in RNAcentral is "HSALNT0262831". The record is from RNAcentral. Lineage: Eukaryota; Metazoa; Chordata; Mammalia; Primates; Hominidae.
UCAAGGCAGUCAGCUCGAUCCCCGUAGCCUUCCGUGAAGGACCACGGGCUGGUCAGAAGCAGUCUGACAGGUCACAGAGCCAGCCCAGCUGUUGGGGGGAUUAGCUGUAAGGAAAGCUGAUCCUAUGACACAUGCUUUAGGUAUGUCCGCCCCUGGGAAACGUGACCUUCAAGGUUUGCGUUAUAGAACUUUAUUCGCUUCAAAAGAUGGAGAACACUUUUGUUUUCUGAGUCCCUGGAGAAUCAUGAUGCAGACAGCUUUGGAGGUACCCAAAGAAAUGGAACACAGAAUCCCAAUUACAUAUAGGCCGCACACAUGAUAAACAACUGCUGGUUUGGGAAUUGCUGGGCGAAGCUUCCUUUCGGCAGUUUGCUCAGAAUAUAUUGCUGAUGAUUUCUGAGAUGCUCAAUUCAUCAUUCACAAUUGCUUUGCAGUAAAAUGCUUGCAGAAGGGAAAAUAGCUGUGAACGCUGCUCCCCAAGGAGGAAAGCCUAUAACUGCUGGAGCCAAAGAUGUCAUCGCAGGUUUUAUCAGUAUUUCAUUUUCUUCCCAUGAAACCGAUAAGCAUUCGAAGCCCUGAGUGUGCUCUCCUUAGAAAUCAGAGGAUCAGUGGGGUGUGGUGGCUCAUGCCUGUAAUCUCAGCACUUUGGGAGGCCAAGACAGGAGGAUCGCUUGAGCCCAAGAGUAGUUCAAGACCAGCCUGGGCAACAUAGUGUGUCUAAAAUAUAUAUAUGUUUUAUACAUGUAUAAAAGAAACCAGAGGAUCCAAAAAAAUAGAGCCUGAGGGUGGAAAAAAGAAAUCAGAGAAGCCAUGAAGAAGAAAAUAAGCCAGACAGAAUGGCGUGCACCUGUGGUCCCAGCUACCCAGGAGGAUCCCUUGAGCCUAGGAGUUUGAGUCCAGCCUGGGCAACAUAGCAAGUGUC